This is a non-coding RNA of Drosophila ananassae, 215 nucleotides long. Lineage: Eukaryota; Metazoa; Arthropoda; Insecta; Diptera; Drosophilidae. The record is from Rfam.
ACUUAACCAAUGCAUGGGUUCCAAAUUAAGCUUGCUGCCGUAGCAUACCAUCAAAAACGGCAUAAAAUUCGCAAUCGCAAGGAGGAGGUUUUAGUACGUAGGGGUCUCGGGACUUGUCUCGGGAUGAAUCGUGCAUGCGUAUCAUUGGGAUCGAUAAACAAACUGCUACAUAUCCCCCGAUACGUACCUUUCAAAGAUUUCCUACCUCAGCGAAC